UUUUGGCAAAUAUUGGACUAAACCCUCUCUCCUCACACUCACGUUCGUCUCUCCUGUGUCUGAAAAGCGGACCAAACCCUCCUCUCCUCCCACAACCCAUACUCAAUUCCCACAAGCGCCACCCAGAAAUCCACUUGGCUCCACUGCCCAGAAUGCGUAAACCACCCAAUUAUUGAGGACUUUCCCUCUCUCUUCCUCUUUAAUACCAUCUAAGCAUUUCAAACCCAUCACCCAAACUAAAGAAUGCAUUUAUAUUUAUGAUCCACCAAAUCAAAUACCUCUCCACAACACAGCAAAACCCAAAACCCAUUUACCAGUUUCCACCAAUUUAGCUCAAACAAAUCCUUGACCCAUCUGAAAAGAAAGAGAAAGGUAAGCAUCCAUCAUGUCUGCCUAUGGGGUCACCCUUCCUCUUAUUCUGCUCUCCCUGCUUUUGGCUAAUGUCAUCUGUCACAGUGAAGCAAGUGUAGCCCAAGCAAAUGGGUCUGCAACUACCAACGAUAUGGUGCCGUUGAUGGAGCCAAAGAAGGUGGUGGAGAUGAGACUGAUGGUAAAUGAGAGCAGGAGGAGGUUGGGUAGCUUCCAGAUAUGUGCACUUUGCACUUGCUGUGGAGGUGCUAAGGGGAUUUGCUUACCUUCUCCUUGUUGCUAUGCCAUCAAUUGCAACAUUCCAAACAGGCCCUAUGGUUUCUGUUCUUUCACUCCCAAGACCUGUAAUUGUUUUGGAUGCCAUAUCUAAAUCUUUCUAUUUUGCAUUAAUUUAUUUCUGGGUCAUCUUCUUGGUUCCCUUGAGAGUGUGAAUGGGUAGAAGAAUAUCUGUUCUUCAUUUGUUUGUUUAUAAUUUUAUUAUUAUUUAUGAGAAUAUUAUUAAUGUUUAGAGUUGUUAUUUCCAGAGGGAAUUGUGUAUAAAAUUUUAUGGAAGUAGCAGUGCCUUAAGAUAGUGGCAGAGCUAGGAUUAGCGUCACAUGUUUUUUGUUAUACCAUUUUCGGUACUUUUUGUCAAUGUGGCUGUCUUUUCCAGCUUUUCCUUUUGUUUUCCCA
Manihot esculenta (cassava) is the source of this 1041-nucleotide long non-coding RNA. RefSeq lists it as uncharacterized. NCBI's taxonomy places the organism in Eukaryota, Viridiplantae, Streptophyta, Magnoliopsida, Malpighiales, Euphorbiaceae. The transcript is spliced from 2 exons. The record is from RefSeq and is a predicted model, not a curated record.